GACGAACGCUGGCGGCGUGCUUAACACAUGCAAGUCGAACGGAAAGGCCCUGCUUUUGUGGGGUGCUCGAGUGGCGAACGGGUGAGUAACACGUGAGUAACCUGCCCUUGACUUUGGGAUAACUUCAGGAAACUGGGGCUAAUACCGGAUAGGAGCUCCUGCUGCAUGGUGGGGGUUGGAAAGUUUCGGCGGUUGGGGAUGGACUCGCGGCUUAUCAGCUUGUUGGUGGGGUAGUGGCUUACCAAGGCUUUGACGGGUAGCCGGCCUGAGAGGGUGGCCGGCCACAUUGGGACUGAGAUACGGCCCAGACGCCUACGGGAGGCAGCAGUGGGGAAUAUUGCACAAUGGGCGGAAGCCUGAUGCAGCAACGCCGCGUGCGGGAUGACGGCCUUCGGGUUGUAAACCGCUUUCGCCUGUGACGAAGCGUGAGUGACGGUAAUGGGUAAAGAAGCACCGGCUAACUACGUG
This 468-nucleotide ribosomal RNA is filed under the name uncultured bacterium. Its description in RNAcentral is "partial 16S ribosomal RNA". It matches the Rfam family "Bacterial small subunit ribosomal RNA", at positions 28 to 507 of the family's 1533-position model. The record is from RNAcentral.